GUUUCUGAUAAACUGUAGGUUUCCAUUUGAUUGGAAGGCUGAACAGGUGGUUUGGGAGAUGAGCAGUGUUGCCCAACGUCACAAUCGGUGGUGGUAUAAAUUCCCCCGGGUUUGUCCUCCAGUCAUUUAUCUUGAGAAAAGCCUGAGGUAGGAUAGCUACAUUACGCGCAAUUGUUGUUGUUAAGAAACCGAUAACAAGAUGACUAAAAUGUUGAUGGCUUACAUUGGAUUUCUUCUCCUUGCCAUGCAUUUUUCAUCACAGGUCCACGCGCAAAACACUACCACACAGUCCCCUGCCAUGAAUGCUACGACCAGAGCUGGCGGUGCGAGUUCCAACAUGACCAAGAUGCCCGAUGUCACCAAGAACAACAUUCCCAAAGGAGCCAGUGCAUCCUUGCAGUCCAGCUCGGUUGCGCUCAUCAUACCCAUCAUGGUGGGGGGAUCACUACAGGGGUGCUUCUAGAGGGAUGUUGCGCAGUGAAUCGACACCGGCAAGACUUGAACAUCAGCGGCCGAGAUGGGGCAAACAUUUUUACUAAGAGCACAUUUUGUAUAUACUUUUCAGAAAGGCAGUCAUGUGCGCUCCUAACCGAAGAGAUUCGGUGGAGUUCCGUGCUGGACGAGAACUCAUUUCUACUUCACUGAUGGGAGUUGUUAUUUGCCCUCACACCUUCAAACCAGUAGGCCUUCACACCUCGCACACUGGCCCCAUGCCCAUAGGCCGAACUGUACGGUCCUCUCCAUGGAGGCAGUCCAUGAUGAGUAUGUACUGUACGGAACUCUGCUCUUUGAACCGUUUGGUCCCGCUGUUCCUGUGUAGACACCAGGGGGUAGUUUAGUAAUUUGUUAAGAAGUUAACAUAUCUAAAGAAAUGUUGGUUGAGGCACUUUGAAAAUAAGGUAUAAAUGAAUGUGGCACAGGCUUGAUGUACACUUGUGAUUUAUUUCUAGAAUAUGGCAUUGUAUGGGUUAGCAUGUGAGAUUUAAUUGUAUAAAUCAUGAUGUGAUAUGCUUAGAUUU
Long non-coding RNA from Oncorhynchus kisutch (coho salmon), 1019 nucleotides. RefSeq lists it as uncharacterized. The transcript is spliced from 2 exons. The record is from RefSeq and is a predicted model, not a curated record. Lineage: Eukaryota; Metazoa; Chordata; Actinopteri; Salmoniformes; Salmonidae.